AGUGAACGCUGGCGGCAGGCCUAACACAUGCAAGUCGAACGGCAGCACAGUAAGAGCUUGUCCUUACGGGUGGCGAGUGGCGGACGGGUGAGGAAUACAUCGGCAUCUACUUUUUCGUGGGGGAUAACGUAGGGAAACUUAUGCUAAUACAGCAUACGAUCUACGGGUGAAAGCAGGGGAUCUUCGCACUUUGCGCGAUUGAAUGAGCCGAUGUCGGAUUAGCUAGUUGGCGGGGUAAAGGCCCACCAAGGCGACGAUCCGUAGCUGAUCUGAGAGGAUGAUCAGCCACACUGGAACUGAGACACGGUCCAGACUCCUACGGGAGGCAGCAGUAGGGAAUAUUGGGCAAUGGGCGCAAGCCUGAUCCAGCCAUGCCGCGUGAGUGAUGAAGGCCUUCGGGUUGUAAAGCCCUUUUGUUGGGGAAGAAAAGCAGCAGAUUAAUACCCCGCUGUUCUGACGGUACCCAAAGAGUAAGCACCGGCUAACUUCGUG
Molecule: ribosomal RNA, 492 nt
Filed under: uncultured bacterium
Lineage: Bacteria
Description: partial 16S ribosomal RNA
Rfam family: Bacterial small subunit ribosomal RNA
Source: RNAcentral